AAUAAAAUGCCUGAAUAAAGGAUUAUCUUGAUAGGAUAAAUUAUGGAAUUUUUUUUAUUACUUUUAUUA
This 69-nucleotide transfer RNA is filed under the name Ixodes pavlovskyi. RNAcentral describes it as "tRNA-Ile". The record is from RNAcentral. Lineage: Eukaryota; Metazoa; Arthropoda; Arachnida; Ixodida; Ixodidae.